GUCUAGCAUUGUCUAUAAAGCGGAAAGCCACCGCCUCCCUUCUUAGGGCAGUUUAGUCCAUUCCGUCCUCAGGACUCCCCUCCUUGUCCAUCUCCCGGCCGAUGCCCCUCCGCCUCCUGCUCUUCUCUGUUUAGGUGGCACAAGUGUAAGCAGCGUUUGACCCUCUUUAACUGCCUGGAGACUUUCCUCGAUGAACAGUUCAGGGUAACCCCAACCCCCCGCAGCACACACACACCUAGGAAUCUCCUUUUGGGGACCCGGCGCGGCACCGUAAGGUGGCGGAAGACUUUGGCAAAGAAGGAGUUCCCUGAAUCACAAAAGACGCACCCCAGAUGGGAAACGCAGUUUUUUCGAGGCAAGUUAGAUGGAUUUCAAUGGGAUGCACUUCCCUAGUAAUAAGAAUGGUCAGGUGAACCAAGAAGGCAGCGCUCGUGCCCCUUUAGUUGCUGCGUGAGAGAGGACAUUUCAGCUGCUAUGGUUUAUCAUGCAACCUAUAGUUAGUAAAUUUCCCUUUUCUGUGGAGCAACUGAAGGUGCAGGAGUCCUGUUCUCCUCAUUAUCCAGCGAUUCAAACUUGAGUCUUAUUUCCUUUUCAACACAUCUCACCCUAAAUCCAAGUGUCCAGAACACCUCUUAAUCCUGAAGGAGAAAAGAGCGUUGCGGCUGCGCUGCGUCAAUGUGUUUUAAUGCCAUGUAUACAGAAAGCUCGGCUGUCAGGGGAUUAGCCAGGCAGCUUUGCAGUCUCGAACAUUUAAAACCUUUUCUGGAAAGAGAAGUCGAACUGACACGCAGCCUCUACUGAUGCGUGUUUACUCAGGAGGAAACUGAUGGUGUUUCUUGCUUGGCAGGGGGUUGGACUCGAUGGCCCUUGUGGUCUCUUCCAACUCUAUGAUUCUAUUCUAUGAAACCCCGUGGAACUGGGCUUAGCCCCAAGUAAGCAUAUGGACUCAAAAAUGCAAUGCCUCUUGAGGUCAAUAGUCGCAGGUUAGUGGGUGAAGAAGAACUGCAGCUUUGCAGCCCCAAACUAUGCAUGCUUACGCAGACGUAGGCUCCUCUAUGCUCAACCAACCAAGCAACUUACUCCCAAGCAAGUGUCCUAACUGAGGAGUCAGCUCCACUGAUCUGAACUGAAAUUCAUCACGGUUUUGAUCGGGUAAACUUGCACCCAACUGGAGGGGAUUUAGUUCUUUGGAAAUCUGCGAGACUAGCAAUAUUUUGGGAUUUGGGGGUGGCUGAAUUGGACCCACAGAAACAACGUGGCUCCCUGGACUAAUCCUGACUUGGUUUCAUGCAACAUUGCUUCAAUAUUGAUCUAACAGACUAUUUCCCCUUUCCUUUCCUUUUUUUAACGGAUGAAAUUGCUUCAGAAGUCGACUUUCUCUAAAGGAAAAAGACCUGAGGGGGGAAAUAACAAGAAACCUCACCCGCCCGCCCGCCCGCCCCUGGCGCUUUACACCCGUACAUGUUAACUCAACCAGUUAAGAAUAGACCCGCCGGUUCGCUACUCUGUCAAGAAUUCUGCCAUUCACCGCUGUAAUAGAAGGGCAGAAAUCAUCUAAUUGUGCAUCCCUAUUUUAUCCCCGUCUUCUCCUCCCCCCACCAACUCUUUUCUUUACUUCCCAUCAAAACAAAACCAAACCAAAAAAAGCCCCACACCUCUUUCUCUGUUGGGAGUCUGGUAAUGACAUGCAAGGAUGGGCUGAAAGACAACCAGACAUCAAAGCACAAAGAAAAUGACAUUUCCCGCACUUUGAUAAGAAAGUCACACUCCUCACUUUCGCCCCCUCCCCUCUCUCCUUUCUUAAAGGCAAACCCACCAGCCCCCAAGGGCGGCCGCAAGCUCUGAGUUGGCACCCAAAACCUUCUUCUUUUUCGCAUUUUGCAUCUUUUGCCGCCACCCCUUCGUAAACAGGGCAAGUCCCUUGGGUGCCCCAGAGGUUUGUUGGACUUGGGGGCCGGGCAAAACAGCAACAACAUUUAUUGGGGAUAAGGAAACCCUGGUGUGGGGGUGGGGAAGACACACGCUUGGGACCGAGAUGGAGCUAAUUAUUGCGAGGGGUAAGAAGGAGCUGGAACACCCAAGUCGAACUGAGCCCGUCUCCCGGGAGACUGAUGGAGACCUAUUUUACAAGCUGUAAUUCCGCUUUAGACGAUUGCAGGCUAAAGUCAAUUCACACCCUCUUCUUUCUUCUAGAAAUAUUCCUAAUCCUGCCGUUCAAGCGGGGAAUUCUCUCGCCUUUCGCUCCACCGAUAUUAAUCUAGAAACUUCAUAGAAGGAAGCCGGAUAAUUGUGGGUCGGGUGGGCGGAAAGAAAAGGGGUUCACCCCACCAGUUUAACUACCUCGGCAACGUCUAACCUUCGAAAAAGUAAAAAUUAAACGGGGAGAUAUGUCGUUCGGUGAUUUAUGGUCCCUUGCU
This 2417-nucleotide long non-coding RNA is filed under the name Podarcis lilfordi (Lilford's wall lizard). Lineage: Eukaryota; Metazoa; Chordata; Lepidosauria; Squamata; Lacertidae. The record is from RNAcentral.